RNAcentral lists this transfer RNA (74 nucleotides) under Serratia marcescens. RNAcentral's name for it is "tRNA-Glu". It matches the Rfam family "tRNA". From Rfam's summary of the family: Transfer RNA (tRNA) molecules are approximately 80 nucleotides in length. Their secondary structure includes four short double-helical elements and three loops (D, anti-codon, and T loops). The record is from RNAcentral. Lineage: Bacteria; Pseudomonadati; Pseudomonadota; Gammaproteobacteria; Enterobacterales; Yersiniaceae.
GUCCCCUUCGUCUAGAGGUCUGACACCGCCCUUUCACGGCGGUAACAGGGGUUCGAAUCCCCUAGGGGACGCCA